RNAcentral lists this long non-coding RNA (6265 nucleotides) under Sus scrofa (pig). RNAcentral's name for it is "lncRNA (ENSSSCG00065034819.1)". The record is from RNAcentral. Lineage: Eukaryota; Metazoa; Chordata; Mammalia; Artiodactyla; Suidae.
UUUUUUUUUUUUUUUUUUUUUUUUUUCAGACUAUGGAGGACGAAAGUUCUUUCUGAGUGGAAAUGUGAGAAAAUGUUGUACUCAUCUUUAAAAAGAUAGAGGCUGGGAGGUAGAGAUGAUUUCAUGUAGUAAUUACAGACCGAAUAGCACUGAUAACUGGGGAAAUUUGAUGGAAUCAUUCAUUAAUCUCUGCAUCAAAGAGCAGAAAACACCAGGAAGCAACCAAUGGGGCUUUUGGAAAUGCCUACGGAAAAGAAGGUUCAAGUGCAACUUUCUUUGCAAAUUUGGCCACAUUGCCCACCAUAGUCACACCAUCCCUUAGCCCUGAACCCCUGGAUUUGUAUCGUCCUCCAGCCUGAUCCGGGGGAUGGGGGGGAGCUGGGACCACAGAUUCUACGAAUGUUAAUAGGGCAUGGUUUCUGCCUUCCAAGAGUGCUAAUGAGGGAGACCAGUGUACAUAUUAAUGAAAGAAAAAGUUGAUUGUAGUUAAAACCCCAGGGAGAAUGCAGACUUAAGCAAUAACCCUCACCCAUUAGGAUGGUAACACUGGAAUUUCCUCUGAGGAAGAUUUUCUGCCUUUACAUGUAAAGAUGAGACUAAACAGCCGGCCAGCUUGGGCAGUUAGACCUUUACCUGCCCCAGACUCUGUUCUGGGGCAGGUUAUGGCGAGGUCCCUUCCACUGUAUAAUUCUAAGACAUCCUCAUUUCAAAGUUGCUAAAAAUAGAAGCAUGGCGUCUGGUAUGUAACAAUAUACAAUAUUGCAGCUGUGUCUUUAUGAUGAAUAAUAAUACUUUGGAGUUAUAUGAUGAGGCAAUCACUUUGCAAGCUCAAUCUCAUUAACCCUCACAAUAUUCUGAUUAGGUAGGCAGGUGGCAAGUGAUCUGAACUCUGUUUGCAAUUGCAAGAACCAAGACUGGGAGAAGCUCAGAAACUUCCUGGGGAACCCAUCAUGUCAAAAGUUGGGAACGUCGCCCAGAUCUCCUUUCCCAAAAUCUGAGGGAGGGGUCCAAAAUCUGGACCAGUGGUCCACAACAGCUUCCAGGUCUCAGGAGCAGAGGAAACACACAAUUGGCGCUGUCCUGACUGUACCAGCUCAAAAAACUGCUGAUUUCUUUGGAAUGAAUGCCAGCGCCACUCCAAGAGAAAAAGUUGAGGGUUUCUUUUUCUCUCCUUUCUCUCUAGCAAUUAAUCAACCUCUUCCUCCCUCCAAAAUCCAGCCCAUCUUGAAAGCAACCAAAGAAAUUUUAAAACCACACCAAAACCUCUUUAGCACUUAACACCAGCACUGUUACUGUCUCCUGAGCUUUUGUUUGCAUUUUGGGUCCCAUGUAAUCGAAGGUCGAUGGCUUAAGAAAAAGUCACCCUUUCAAAAGUCUUUAAAUACUCAGAUAGGCACCCCUUCUCAGCAGCUUGCUCCUCUGAGUCCUGAUUUUAUUCGUCUCUUUGUUAAUGGGAAAAAAAACAAAAAGAAGAUUCCUUUGCUUUUCUAAACACGCUGAGUGCCUUUCCUCAGACUAGAGGAACAGGUUUGGUGGUGCUGAUAGAAAAUCACAGGAAAAUGACACCAUUAGCCAGGAAACGUUUGCCAGCCGAGGGGAAAGGCGCCUUUGCAGCCUCUGGGGAAACACUGACGUUCGUUUAUAUGGGAAUCGUGAGAUUAAUAUGGGAACUCGGGUUUUGUGCUGUGGGGGUAGGUUUCCCCGGCUCCCUCUGAGACAUGACACACGGCCACAUCUUCAAAUUGUUAAUUAUGUACUGCCCCCUAGGGAUUUUUGUUUUGCUGGUGGCAACCUGCUUCAAAUCCUGCAGGAAACAUUUAUCAGCCGGCUUCAGCCAGUAUUUGCCGCACAGAAAGCUGUACCUUUUUGUGACCUUGUUGUACGGAGUCCACCCCUUUCCUGAGCAAAUUGCAUUCAAACACUUUACUUUUCAGAUUGUUGAUUUUCCCCCUCCCUCUGUUGUCUUAUUUUAUUUCCCAGGGAUGGCUUCCAUUUGCAUAAGCUGGGGUAGAGCCGUCUCUCUUUCAAAGCUCGGCUUUCCCCACCUCCACCACAUUUCCCCUGUGGUUUUGUAAACAUCUCUGAAUUUGGGGGAAAGAAGAGCAAACUGUGAAUUAGAGACACUUGCACACAUGCACUUACAUAUUUAUCUGUACUUACUGGUGGAGGAAUUCUCCACGCUCUGAAAUGUGCUCUAUGGAAUCCCAUUUAAAUCAAAAACUUUUAUCAGAAAAAUGAAAUUGCUUUAUGAUUGAAUAGCACUUUGCUUCUAAGUGCCAGUCAUUGAGGCUGAUGAAAUGACCAAGGCGACAUUCUUCCCUGGAAAGACAUCCUUGGCCUUUAUUUUUAAAUUGGAGGGAAAGAAUUUCAGCACCAUAUUCCUUCACAGAGGUUCUCGCAGACAGAGGACCCGUCUUUGCCUGUAAUUAACCGCAUUUCGGUAUCUGAUAAGAAUGUUGCACAUAUGCGUGUUUUUAGUGCCCGUGUAGUUUUGUUUUGUUUUUAAUAAUGUAGGAGACAGCCCUGGCAAGAAUCCUUCUUCCUGCAUGAUAUAUUUUUUAAAACACACACACACACACAAAUCUUGAACACAACAACUUUAGCAAAUAUAUGCAUGAUCAAAACAGUUCAGAAAUAUAAGAUCUGAAAAUGAGAAAGGGCAGCAGGUUUUUGAAUAGGCUUCAUCAGCAGAGGGGAGAGGUCAGCCGUGGAGAUUAGUUAUAGGAGCUAUUAAGUCUCCUCUGACACCCACAGUACAAGCUGCUCAACAUAAUCAGCCGCAAUCAGCAAAACUGCUGUUUAUUACAAAACGUUUUUCCCUUUUAAUAUUUCACAUUGUUAUGUAAAACGGUGCGGUGUAGGGACACACACAUUUCACCAGGGACAAAUUGUACAAAUUGUCAGCAAUAAUAAUUUGUGGCUCUUCUCGUGACAUCUUUUGAAGUUAAAAACCGUGGAACGAUACCUCUCCAGAGCUAUUUUCUCUAAUGUGGUUAAUGGUUUGCACUGGAGUUGACCAGCCACUCUCUGUACGAUGUUGUCACCAUUUACCAGUGUGAGAAAAUGUUUGUGUGACCGUACAUCAAUCAGACAAGUCGUGAAGCUUGCUAGGUUCCACUCACCCUUCCCCAACUGGCCAACACCCUCCAUGAUAUGUGUGUCUCCUGUGGAUUUCCUGGUCCAUCUUAAUCACCAAAGUAAUUCCCUUUACAAAACAUUUUCUUUCUUUUUUUUUUUUUUCUUUUUAGGGCCGCACCCGUGACAUGUAGAAGUUCCCGGGGCUAGGGGUCAAAUCAGAGCUGCUGGUGGCUACAGCUCUGAUUGGACCCAUAGCCUGGGAACCUCCAUAUGCCAAGGGUUUGGCCCUAAAAAGACAAAAAAAAUUUUUUUUGCUUGAAUAAUAAUAUUUUAUUUAACCUAAUAGAUCCAAAAUGUUUAUUUCAACAUAUAAUCAACCUAAAAGCUACUGAUGAGAUAUUUUGCAUUCUUUUUUCUUCUUGUCCUAAAUCUUUCUAAUGUGGUUGUAUUUUACACAUAUAGCACAGCUCCAUUGGCAGUAGCCACGUUGCUCAUGCUCAGUACCCAUGGGUGCUACUAUCAACCACAUUAGGCAGUGCAGUCCCAGACCUGCUUCGUGGUGCUUUUUUUUUUUUUAAAUUAUAGUUGAUUUACAGCGUUUUUCCCAUUUCUCCUGUACAGCAAAGUGAUCCAAUCAUAUAUAUCUACAUUCCUUUUCUCAUAUUAUCUUCUGUCAUGGUCUAUCCCAGGAGGUUGGUUAGAGUUCCCUGUGCUAUACAGUAGGACCUCUUUGCUUAUCCAUUCUAAAUGUACUAGUUUGCAUCUACAAAACAGAAACGCUGACAGACAUAGAGAACACACUCAUGGUUGCCAAGGGGGAGGAGGGAUGGAGGGGGAUGGAGGGGGAUGGAGGGGGAGUCUGGGGUUAGUAGAUGCCUCAUAGUGCUUUUGACUUUUGCCUUCUUGGGAAGGAAGGAGGCAGUAACUGGCGAUGACCCUGAGUGGUCCCUUCAACUUACCUUCUCCUCCCCAAUCCAAACAAAGGUUAGCAAUAGGAUUUUGAAUUUGAAGCUCAAAAGUUUGUGAAAUACAUCAGCUUGCAUGUCAUUCAUGCUAAUCACAUUUUUAUUCCUUGGGCCAGCAUUCCCUUGCUGCUUUUCCUUAUGUUUACCCCAAUCCACCUCAUGAAGACAAAUGUGGUUCCAACUAGAACAGUAGCAGUAGAGUUGCCACUGGAGAUAAAGAGAGGCAUCAAGGAGUGCUUCCUGGGUGUUUUCCUGGCUCACUCAUGUUUUUGAUGGUGGGACUGGCACCAUCGCCUGGGGAGAGUGUGGGUAGAGAGGAAGGUACUGCUGACUUCAGAGCCAGGGGUAUCCCAGCUCUGCAGGCUGGGAGAGUAGGGGGCCCACAAGAGGGGCUGAGAAGGAGCUGCCUGAGAGUCAGAGACCAAGUAGGGUGGGAGGGGAGUGGUCCCAGAAGCCUAGAGUAGACAGGUAUGGCUACUCUAGAGGUCAGGUAAGCCUCGUGGAUGCAAAAGCAGGGAACACAUGAAAGGGAUCUCGAAGGGAGGCUUAGGCAGUGAGCUGAGCAGAGUCAGGACAGUCUGAGAACAGAGUGGCAGCUCACACUGAACCAACAGGCCUGGACAAGUGCAAGGGCUCGGUCAGAGGAGAACUGGCCUUAGAUCCUGAUUCAGCCAGCCCUGGGACAGCUACGUCUCCAUAUUGACCUUAAGAGCCUCUAUGUCCCUCAUUAGCUCAGGAAAAGUACCCCUUCACCAUGGUUUUUUCUGCACUGAGAAGAGCCAGGGACACCUCCGCUACCAAGGACCUUGCAGAGUUGAAGUGUGUGGAGGACUGAGUCAAUAGAAAUUUAGCUGAGACCUUGGUUUCUCAGCAUUGGUCUUGCCUGGGAAAUUUCAUAAUAGAAAUUCUCCUUAAUUUCUCAACCUAAAUGUUCCUCCAUAGAGAAUUGGGCAAAUAAAGUCUGAAACAUUCAAAUAAUACAAUCGUAAAUGCCUGUUAAGAAGAAUGAGAGCUGUAUAUGUUGACAUAAAAAUAUAUGCAAGAUUCAUUUUAAGUGGCUACACCAAGUUUCCUAACAGUGUAUAAAGUAUGCUCGCUUUUGGGGGGGAAGGGGGUUAUAUACAUAUGCAUAUGUACCCACAAAAACACACUUUGUAUGUGCACAGGAAUUCUCUGGAAGAAUUAAAAAGAAGCUGUUAAGAGCAGUUGCCUCUGGAGGAGAAACUAGAAAGGAAUUUAGGAUGAGAUAGACAUUCGCCUUUGGCAUGUAAUAUUUAGUGUUGCUCAGUUUCUCUUGACCAGGUAGGUGCAGGCAUUAUUAUCAUUUAAAAUAAUAGUUCAGGAGUUCCUGUCAUGGCUUAGUGGUUAAUGAACCCAACUAGUAUCCAUGAGGACGCAAGUUCGAUCCCUGCCCUUGCUCAGUGGGUUAAGGAUCCGGCGUUGCCGUGAGCUGUGGUGUAGGUUGCAGAUGAGGCUCGGAUCUGGUGUGGCUGUGGCUGUGGCUGUGGCGUAGGCCAGCAGUUGUAGCUCCAAUUAGACCCCUAGCCUGGGAACCUCCAUAUCCACGUGUGCAGCCCAAAAGAGACAAAAGACAAAAAAAAAAAGUUCAAAGUAUUUUAACCAAUAUUUUCUUAUACUAGAUAUAUUAAACACUACCAAAUCUUGUGGAGAAAGGACUACAUACCUUUGUGACCAGCGUGAUGCCUUCAUUCAUUCAUUUCUCCAAAUUUCAAAUUUGAGGACAUUGGAAAACAACAUUGAUUAGGGAUCCGCUCUUCUCAAUAUUAAAUUUUUUUCCUUGUAGUAAUUCUACUCAGUGUCUAGAAAUCAAGUUCACAGGCUGGCUGACAGUGAUGCACUGCUGUGGCUCUGAACUUUAAAACCUCUAAAAGUCAAAAAAAUCAGGGCAAGUGUAAAACGCAAGUCACAGACUCACCUCUAAGGGUUUCCAGGUGGCUUUUCCGGCAUCACCUGCACAGCACCAGGUGACACACAGGAUUGCCCACAGGGAGAUGCCAGGAGGCUAUCAGAAAGGACACAAGGCUUACUGCUCUAAAACUCCUAAUUAAGCUACUGUGAGGGAGUUCCCUGGUGGCCUAGCAGGUAAAGAUUCACAUUGUCACUGCUGUGGCUCAGGUUACUACUGUGGCUUGGAUUCAGUCCCCAGCCUAGGAAUUUCUGCAUGCUGUGGGUGUGACCAAAAAAAAAAAAAAAAGAAAAAA